Molecule: long non-coding RNA, 2477 nt
Filed under: Nicotiana benthamiana
Lineage: Eukaryota; Viridiplantae; Streptophyta; Magnoliopsida; Solanales; Solanaceae
Description: long non-coding RNA (NBEN_LNC040342)
Source: RNAcentral
UUCCUCUCUGAGUUAUGAGAUAGACCAACUCAAAGUCCAUUGAUCCAAAGUCUUUCUCCAAUUCGAGUGUGUCAAAGUUCCCUAAGAGCAUCAACGGGACUCCAUGCAGUGCUCACACCCAUAUUGUAUCACCAUAAUAGGGACAAGUGUAGUGUGGAAGUGCCAACCCUCACGUGUCUAAGUUCAGAUGGAGCUCAUAGGUCCCAAGGCAAGGCUCAAAAGAGGGGAGAAGAACUUAAGUCUAAGAGAGAGUGCAAGUGAAGAAACAGAGUUCUGAAGGAAUAAAGGAGAGGGAAAUGGGUGCUGGGAAACAGUCAUAAACAAGUUGAUAAUUUCAAAUAAAAGGUGUUCAUGGGUUGGGAAAUUAUAAAAGGCCUAUGUAUUUUGGCAAGGGUCAGCUUUGGGCAUGCAUAGUAAUAGAAGAUGCUAGCAUGCCUAUAAGUCCACCAGAACACACAAUACUAGAGAAACAUAGAGGUUAUGAUCCCAAGGAUCAAGUUUUGAGUCAUGGACAACAAUGCUCAAUACUAUCAUGCCUCAAACAAACCAUCAAUAUUAAACACAUUGGGGUAGGGGUUUAGGAUACUUAAUAAAUAGAUCCAGAAUAGGAAGAAAGUAAUUACAACAUGCUAGAAUAAAGUACUGCACUAAACACUAGCAGUAGACAGACAAGAAGGCGAAAGCAAUCAGUAAACAUAUUAUUGUGAUGCUGAAAUUUUAAUCAAAACAUACCAGUUCAAAGAAGAAAAAUACAGUAAUGGUAAAGUAGCAGGAUUUUGAAAUAUAGCUCUGGCUUUUAGCCAGCUAAAUAGGUCACAGUAAAAGUAGUAAAAUAGGAGAGAACGUUUUGAGUGUAAGUGAUUUUAGAACUAAGAGUAUUUAUGUUUUUGCUAAUGAAUGAGUGAGGUACUUAUAGUUUGAAAACAAGUAGAAAAUAAGGAAAGAAUCAUAUUUUAGUAGUAAUUAUGGAACUAUGUAUCAAUUAAAAUCAAACCAUUAUAAGUACUUCCUUUCAUUAAGGAGUUAAAUCAACCAACGGUAAUGAGAAAAAAACAUUUAAGGAAAGAAAUCAAGUAGAGCAUAAUGUAAAGAAUAGACAAUUAGGGGUAGGUACAUAGGGGUCCAAUUAAGGAAAAGACUAAUGAAGAAUCAGUAAAAAUACUCGGUUAACCAAAAAAGGUAGGAAACACAAGAGAUUUGCAAAAUAUGGAGACAAUCAUCUCCCAGUAAAUCAGGGAGUAUUACUGAUUUAAGGAGAAUCACACAUGGCCCCAAGCAUAAGCAAAUAAACUAAAUUAAAAAUAGCAGAAUCGAAAGUGUAUGGAAAAUUUUCAAAUCAGGCCCAGAAACAAGGAGCUCAGAAUCAAUCAAAGAGAGAACCAUGCGUCCUGUUUAAGCAUAUAAGUAGAAUGCACAAACAUGAGGCAUGUGAGGCUAAACCAUGGCAAAGAGAAGAAACAUGCGAUAACAAUCACAAAGUCAGUAGACGGUGAAACAUGGUAGUCACAUAGGUCAACUUAGUAAUAGAGAAAAAGUGUAUCAGAAUCAUGCAAAGGGUCAAGUAAAGAGGCCCUUCUGUAAAGUAUAGUCUAGUUUCAAUGAUUGCAAAAAAACAAAUCACAUAGAGAAAUAGAGGUUGAAACAAAAAGGACUUUGAAUCUAGUCGAGCAACUUCAAAUAGAUGAAGCAGUUUUCAGAAGCUCGAAUAGGCCUAAAGAAAUUAAGGUUUUGAAACCUAUCAAAUUCAGAGAUGAUGAACAAGUAAAUGAUACAACAGAUAGUCUCAGAUGUUGAGCGAACCCAAAAUUUUAGGGUUUUCAACAUCAAUCGAGUCUAGAUAUGAAAAAUAAGUAAAUCAAACAAAUACUAACAAAUAAUUUAUUCAGAAAUCUCAAAAGAAACUAAGACUCCUGACAUGUAAACUCUAGUAAAGAACGACAUAAGGAAACAUAGGAGAACAUGUUUAAAAUCAAAGGAAGCUUCGAAAUAACUUAACAAAAACCAAAAACGGAGAAGAUAAAUAGGUUCUGAAGGUAGAGUUUGAAAGAAACCUUUGAGAAAAAUAUCUAGAAGUUUAGAGCAAACACAUAUCUAAAACACACCUAAAAGAAAUAGGAAGAACCUUAAAGGUUAGGGUUUCCAGAGAACCCCAGAUGGUGAGAAAGGCUUGGAAAAUCAUCAAUCUAAGUAAGAGAAGUCAAGAAUCAUGCUUGAAUAGCCAUGGCUGGCCGGAGCAAAGUCAAAGAUGACUAGAGACAGCCAUAAAACUGAAAUAAUCCAAGAUCUGGACCUAAAUUAUCCAGGAUUCAGCCUUGAAAUCAUGAAACUUGAACACAUAGAAGCCUUGGGAGGUGGAUACAGGACUCCAAUGGCUUUGGAAGCCAUUGAUUUCGGCGGUUUUGGGGUGGUAGUUGAGGGCAACAACUAUGGUUUGAUAGAGGAUUGAGAGAGAAGGGGGAUUCAGAGGUGACCGUAGG